This 408-nucleotide ribosomal RNA is filed under the name uncultured bacterium. RNAcentral describes it as "partial 16S ribosomal RNA". It matches the Rfam family "Bacterial small subunit ribosomal RNA", at positions 28 to 526 of the family's 1533-position model. The record is from RNAcentral.
GACGAACGCUGGCGGCGUGCUUAACACAUGCAAGUCGAACGAAGUGGCGAACGGGUGAGUAACGCGUAAUCAACCUGCCCUUCAGAGGGGGACAACAGUUGAAAACGACUGCUAAUACGGAAUCGGAAGGUGGGGUUUUGGGUCGGUUUAGCUGGUUGGGGGGGUAACGGCCAACCAAGGCGAGGAUCAGUAGCCGGUCUGGGAGGAUGGACGGCCACAUGGGGACUGUGACACGGCCCAGACUCCCACGGGAGGCAGCAGUGGGGAAACUUCCGCAAUUGACGAAAGUCGGACGGAGCAACGGCGCGGGAGUGAUGACGGCCUUCGGGUUGUAAAGCUCUGUUACUCGGGACGCGGUACCGGAAUAGAAAGCCACGGCUAACUACGUGCCAGCAGCCGCGGUAAUAC